This is a long non-coding RNA of Lotus japonicus, 4253 nucleotides long. RefSeq lists it as uncharacterized. Lineage: Eukaryota; Viridiplantae; Streptophyta; Magnoliopsida; Fabales; Fabaceae. The record is from RefSeq and is a predicted model, not a curated record. The transcript is spliced from 2 exons.
GAGAGCGAAGACCAAGCGGCCGAUUAAUAUCGAUUUAGAAUUACAAGAUGCAUUGGAAACAAAAAUGAAUAGAUAGGUUUGUGCCUUUGUGGUUGGAUUAGUUGCAAAUAGUUGGAGAGAUCAUAAAGAUAAAGUUUGUAAACUUCUUUUUUGUGCUGUGCUUUCUCUUUUUCUCUUGUUUAAAAUAUUAGAGAAUGACCAUGGGAAGAUAAACCCACAUUUAUUCCUCACACAGGUGAUGAUGCAAGCAAAUUCUCUUUCCGGUCCUAUAUAAACCCUUCCAUCUCCCCUUCAUUUCAUCACACAACACCUCAAGUUUAAUUUAACUUGUUUUCUGUUUCCAUAGAGAGUAGUUUCUAUGUUGAAGAGGAAACAAGUUUUGUCUCCUCAUAACCUAAUGAGGGUUCCAGAAGCUGGUGUUACCUUUUUCAGAUCCACUUACUGCAGGUUAAAGAAGAGGAUCGGAGCUACUCAGCUGCAUCUCAAAUUAAUUUCUCAAAUUUAAUUUAGAGUAACGGUAAGGGAGGUGACAGAAGAGAGUGAGCACACAUGGUGCUUUCUUGCAGUUUCAUGCUUGAAGUUAUAUGUGCUCACCCUCUAUCUGUCACCCCACCACCAUCUCUUUUCUGCUUAUUAUUUUUUUAGUACAUUGGAAAGAUAAAUUGCAUCAUCCCGGGAAUGAUCCUUGGACCUCCCCCACUCAACUCAUAUGUCCCUUAACUCUUAGUACUUGAACUAUCAUCCAGGGACAUUUCUGCCUAUUAUAGUACAUGUUUUUAUUUUUUAUUUUUAUUUUCUUGCUUCCCCUUUUUAUGACAACUUGCCCUAGCUAGGUAGCAGCUUGGGCUUCACUAUCAGCAGCAAAUAAUACUUUUUGCAUCAAAUCUCAGGUAUGUGGCUUUUCCAGAUUGUUCUUAUACAGGUUUUUAGUAUGCUAACCAGCUCACCAAAAGCAUUGAUUUCUACCUCUCUAAUUUCACAGUUUUAAUUAUCUCAAAGACUAUAACUCUAAUUGGUCAAUGCUUUUGAUGUAUACUUAGUCAAAUUGCUGCUAAUAAGUUAAGAGAUUGAGUACUUGAUUAAUAAAAGUAUUGAACUGUUAAUUAAGAAACAUGGUUAUAGUUUUUCUUCGAUUUAUUGUUUUGGGUGCAUAUGCACCUCAUAUAGAAAUUAAAAGAAAAUAACGGUGAUUGUGUCAGAUAUGGAAAUAGAACAUCUUAUCCUUAGGGUCUUGGGUGAGAAGGAAAUUAAUCACCAAAUUAAAUUAAGAGAUUUUCUGUGAUUUUAUCCUUUAUCAGCAAAUUAACAACUACUAUGAUGUGAAUAUUUUAGCCUUGAACAGAAUUGUAUCCUUUGUAAGACUGAAAACAUACUGUGUACAAAUCAAAUUGAAAUCUAGACCAAUACCAUCUUGUAAAUAUAGGGUUUGCUUACUAAUUGAGAAUGAAAGUAAAGAAAGAGAAAGAGCUCACAGUUAUUUGAUGCUUGUCUUGAUUCAAUAUUGUUAAUUUUGACAUCUUAUUUCUUAUAUUGUAUUCAUUUUUAAUGCUUGCUAUAGCAUAUUUUAAUUAAUGAACAACUAAUUUUUUGCUGUUGUAGCUUUUCUUAAAAAGAGUUAUUUUCUACUAUAAAUGAAUCUUCUCAACUCACGCGCAAUAUUCUUUUUUUUAGGUAUAUAUAUGAAGCUUUCAAAUUAAAAGAAAUUUAACAACCACAUAAACACAAUUAACACAAAAAAGACUGUAAAAGUUAUUUUCGUCACAGUCUGAUCUUGCCUGCCAUGAGAUCUUGUGAUCUAAAUAACCAAAAUUUUCAACAUGUUCAAAAUAAUUUUUUCAUACUUUAUAUGAUAUGUGGUUGAUUUGAGGUUAACACGGUUGGGAGAAGCGCUUUUCUUGAACAAGAUUGUCUCAAAUGAAGAUAUAUGUAUAGAUAAAGGCUUAAUUGCAACUUUGGUCCCUGACAUUUACAAAAGCCACGAUUUUGGUCCCUCACCUAAUUUAAUUACAAAAAUCGUCCCUCACCUAACACUUCGUGAACAACGUUGGUCCAACCGUCAAUUUUUUAACGGAAGAAGCUUACGUGGCGUCUGAAAGCUUAUGUGGAAGUGCCACUGGCGUCAGAAUCGAUUUUUCCUCUCCUCUCGGCUGUUUUUUUUAUCUCAUAGUGAAGCUUUGCUGUUGGGAGGCCUAGUUGUUGGAACGCUGGGAUUGAGGUUGUGUCCUAUUCCUCUGAGUUUUUUUGUUGUUUUUUCCUCUGAGAUGUAGAGGCAUGUGCCUCCCUCUCUCCGGUGGCACUUCCACCUAAGUUUUCAAACACCACAUAAGCUUCUUCCGUUAAAAAAUUGACUGUGGGACCAACUUUGUUCACAGAGUGUUAGGUGAGGGAUGAUUUUUGUAAUUAAAUUAGGUGAGGGACCAAAAUCGUGGCUUUUAUAAAUGUCAGGGACCAAAGAUGCAAUUAAGCCAUAGAUAAAUGAAAUAUAGCCUAACAUUUGUAAAUAUUUUGUUUUCCCCAAUUAUAUAUUGAUUUCAUAUACCCGACAUUUUACAUAUGCAACACAACGCCUUGAACCUCGUCUACUUCAAUCAUGAAUAUAAUCUGAAAAAUAAACCAGAUAUCUUAAGAUCAUGUUUAGCAGACUUUUAGAAUGAAGAAAUGGUGUUUUUAAUUUUGUACAUUGUGGAAUAUGUGCAUGAAUUGGUCCUUAAACCUCUCUCCCACCUAAACACUAAAUAAAUGGAGUACUGAUUCAUUUUUUUAUUUGAUGGUUGUCUUCAGAAAAUUAUAACUGUGUCCCAAUAUGGUUUUCCUGUUUUGUAUUUUGGUCCUUACAAUAUUGGUCUAGUUUGUUUACCGCUAAAUUAACAUGUUGUCGGUGGAGUAUUGAAUUAUUAAUAGAUGCACAAUAAGCAAAGAACUACCACCGAAAUUUCCCUGUUGUUAAAUAUUGUUAAAUAUUGUUAACAAGAAUUGAAGCUGAAAGAAAAGGGCCAUGAUUAUUACUAUGUAAGAUCAAACAUACCCUUAUGUUCAUCAAACGAAACACUUUUACUUUCUUGUCAUUGGAAGAUUAUAGCCUAUCACUUCAAACCUCAAAAGAGAUAUAUAUGUUGGUGAUUUUAGUAUCAUCAAUGGAUUUUAGUAGUAAUGUAAUUUACUAUAGGCCGAUGCGAUUAUGCGUUAAGCUCGGAAACGAGUUAGGGUAGUGCGGAGUGCACGCUCGUUGAGCUAACGUAUAAUUGACCGCGAAUACAAAACGGGGUUCCAAGGGGCGGAGCCCAAUUAUAAUUUUCCUAAACGACCCUUAAUUUUAAAAACUGUUAGAAUUAACUGUUUUUCGGUUUCCGAAACAAACUCCAAUAUAAGGAGUCAUUUGGCCUCAGAUUUGAUAUACAGAAAACAAAACAGUCAUUCUCUCUACAUUCCUGAUAUGUUAUCUAUUGCCAGAAACAGGUUGUUCUUCAAGAAUUAUCCCAACAAGGAUUUCGUGAACCCAGGCAAGAAUAGGGUCGAAAUACUUUGUUCGGAAAGGAUAUGAACACGAUUCUUCGAAGUUAUCCAAGAUCAUCCCCAAAUUUCCAACAAUAUAUAUAUAUACCAAGGUUAUCAACUAAAAUUCAAGUCAUGAUGGCCCUUAGACUUGAUUCACACAAAAGAAGUACAAACUCACGACGAUGGCCUCUGAGCUUUUGCUUGAAUACAAGUCUAUGCAGAGCAAGUCUAACUCUCCUACUUCAGUUGGACUUGAGGAGGAGUGAUGAAAUAUACAACCCAAGUCUCACAUUUGGGACCAUAAUCUAGUGUGUAUAUAAACCCAACAAAGACAGAGCUCCUCUCGCUAUUGGAGUCUAACUCUAUCUCGCAGAGGGCCUAGUUAACUUUUUUAGGCCUUUUGCUUUGUUUGUAUCUUUCUCUAUUAUUGAUAUAUAUUCAGCUUUCUAAAAAAAAGUUGGAGCAUUCCCAAUUAAAUUAAGGCAUUUUGCAUCCUCUUGAUCAUCAUCAAUUUUUUUUGGCCCUGCAUGCACCAAACCCAACACAUAUUUUGGUUUUGAAAAAAUGUUCUAAAUUCCCUAUAGUGCGUGUCGGGAUGUCUAUACCCUAAUUGGGAAUGAAAGAGAAGUGAAAGAUGUGAGAGGUGAUUUCAACGGAUGAGCAAGGGAGAUAAGAAGAAAAAUAAAGUGGAAGAAAGAUGACUAAAUUUUUUGUAAGUAUAAAAAAAUCAAAGUUAAAAGUGUCAAAUAUUUUCAGAA